RNAcentral lists this ribosomal RNA (497 nucleotides) under uncultured bacterium. RNAcentral describes it as "partial 16S ribosomal RNA". It matches the Rfam family "Bacterial small subunit ribosomal RNA", at positions 28 to 507 of the family's 1533-position model. The record is from RNAcentral.
GAUGAACGCUGGCGGCGUGCCUAAUACAUGCAAGUCGAGCGAACAGACGAGGAGCUUGCUCCUCUGACGUUAGCGGCGGACGGGUGAGUAACAAGUGGAUAACCUACCUAUAAGACUGGGAUAACUUCGGGAAACCGGAGCUAAUACCGGAUAAUAUAUUGAACCGCAUGGUUCAAUAGUGAAAGACGGUUUUGCUGUCACUUAUAGAUGGAUCCGCGCCGCAUUAGCUAGUUGGUAAGGUAACGGCUUACCAAGGCAACGAUGCGUAGCCGACCUGAGAGGGUUAGCGGCCACACUGUAACUGAGACACGGUCCAGACUCCUACGGGAGGCAGCAGUAGGGAAUCUUCCGCAAUGGGCGAAAGCCUGACGGAGCAACGCCGCGUGAGUGAUGAAGGUCUUCGGAUCGUAAAACUCUGUUAUUAGGGAAGAACAAAUGUGUAAGUAACUAUGCACGUCUUGACGGUACCUAAUCAGAAAGCCACGGCUAACUACGUG